GGGAGCGGGUGAAGUUUCACCUGCUCGACAUGUUUCCUUUUUCACCCCUCUUCCUCCCGCUCGACAUGUUUGCUUCUUCACCGCUCUUCCUCCCUCUGCUGCUCCUUCUCCCUCGCCGUAGCCUUCUCACCAUCGUACCAGAGGUGUCUGCCGGUUCCCUUUCUCCCUUUCUCUCUUGCUCGCCGCUCCGCUCCUCCGCUGGUUCGCCAACGCCACAGUCCCUGCUCUCAAGCCUCCCGUGAACGAAGUUUUACAGAGAGGAAGCCAGCCCCCAACUUAUCCUUUUUCACUUACCCGUCACAGAGCUACACCAGCGGUAUGCCCACCUACCCUUUGUGCUUGGAGAAGUGCUCAAUAAUUUAAUUACCCAAUAUUCAUUGUAAAGUAUGAAUUCUUUUAUUCUGUGUCUUUUUCCUAUUGAAAUUACUAAUUAUUCUGUUAUGUGCGCCUAUGAAGAAAAUUAUGGUAUCUUUUUCAUCUGUCCUAUAUUGUCCUUUUGUUGACAGAAAAUCAUUUGAACCGAGCAAAUUGUUACAUUUCAUACUUCAUUUGGAAUUAGAAUGAAAAAUUGAAAAUCUUAA
Nymphaea colorata (pocket water lily) is the source of this 581-nucleotide long non-coding RNA. RefSeq lists it as uncharacterized. The record is from RefSeq and is a predicted model, not a curated record. NCBI's taxonomy places the organism in Eukaryota, Viridiplantae, Streptophyta, Magnoliopsida, Nymphaeales, Nymphaeaceae. The transcript has 2 exons.